This 848-nucleotide ribosomal RNA is filed under the name uncultured Lentisphaerota bacterium. RNAcentral describes it as "bacterial SSU rRNA". It matches the Rfam family "Bacterial small subunit ribosomal RNA", at positions 46 to 916 of the family's 1533-position model. The record is from RNAcentral. Lineage: Bacteria; Pseudomonadati; Lentisphaerota.
GGAUUAGGCAUGCAAGUCGAACGGGAAACCCUCCGGGGUUUCUAGUGGCGAAAGGGUGAGUAACACGUGAGCAACCUGCCCCCAAGUCCGGAAUAAGCGGUGGAAACGCCGUCUAAUGCCGGAUGCCGAAUGGCCCCCGCCUGGUGGCUUUUCGAAAGAUUUAUCGCUUGGGGAUGGGCUCGCGCCCCAUUAGCUGGUUGGCGGGGUAAUGGCCCACCAAGGCUACGACGGGUAGGUGGACUGAGAGGUCGGUCACCCACACUGGGACUGAGACACUGCCCAGACUCCUACGGGAGGCUGCAGUCGAGAAUCUUCCGCAAUGGGCGAAAGCCUGACGGAGCAAUGCCGCGUGAGGGAAGAAUGUCUUCGGGUUGUAAACCUCUGUCACCCGGGACGAAAUUUGACGGUACCGGGAGAGGAAGUCACGGCUAACUACGUGCCAGCAGCCGCGGUAACACGUAGGUGGCAAGCGUUAUUCGGAUUUACUGGGCGUAAAGGGUCCGCAGGGGGCCUGACAAGUCUGUCGUGAAAGGCCAAGGCUCAACCUUGGCACUGCGGUGGAAACAGUCGGGCUAGAGUCAGUGAGGGGCAGACGGAACACCUGGUGUAGCGGUGGAAUGCGUAGAUAUCAGGUGGGACACCGAUGGCGAAGGCGGUCUACUGGCACAUUACUGACCCUCAUGGACGAAAGCGUGGGUAGCAAACAGGAUUAGAUACCCUGGUAGUCCACGCCGUAAACUUUGAGAACUAGAUAUGGUGAGGCUGGCCCUCUCCGUGUCCCAGCUAACGCGUUAAGUUCUCCGCCUGGGGACUACGGCCGCAAGGCUAAAACUCAAAGGAAUUGACGG